This 186-nucleotide ribosomal RNA is filed under the name uncultured bacterium. Its description in RNAcentral is "partial 16S ribosomal RNA". It matches the Rfam family "Bacterial small subunit ribosomal RNA", at positions 1315 to 1500 of the family's 1533-position model. The record is from RNAcentral.
ACUACAUGAAGCUGGAAUCGCUAGUAAUCGCAGAUCAGAAUGCUGCGGUGAAUACGUUCCCGGGUCUUGUACACACCGCCCGUCACACCAUGGGAGUCGGAAAUGCCCGAAGCCGGUGACCCAACCAAAAGGAGGGAGCCGUCGAAGGCAGGUCUGAUAACUGGGGUGAAGUCGUAACAAGGUACC